GAUGAACGCUAGCUACAGGCUUAACACAUGCAAGUCGAGGGGAAACGACAUCGUAAGCUUGCUUUUGAUGGGCGUCGACCGGCGCACGGGUUAGUAACGCGUAUCCAACCUGCCCAUCACUUGGGAAUAACCUUGCGAAAGUAAGACUAAUACCCAAUGAUAUCCCACGAAGGCAUCGGAAUGGGAUUCAAGAUUUAUCGGUGAUGGAUGGGGCUGCGUCUGAUUAGCUUGUUGGCGGGGUAACGGCCCACCAAGGCAACGAUCAGUAGGGGUUCUGAGAGGAAGGUCCCCCACAUUGGAACUGCGAAACGGUCCACUCUCCUACGGGAGAGAGGAGUGAGGAAUAUUGAUGAAUGGGAGAGAGCCUGAACCAGCCAAGUAGGGUGCAGGAAGACGGCGAUAGGGGUUGUAAACUGCUUUUAUAAGGGAAUAAAGUGGGUCACGUGUGACUUUUUGCAUGUACCUUAUGAAUAAGGACCGGCUAAUUCCGUG
This 492-nucleotide ribosomal RNA is filed under the name uncultured bacterium. Its description in RNAcentral is "partial 16S ribosomal RNA". It matches the Rfam family "Bacterial small subunit ribosomal RNA", at positions 28 to 507 of the family's 1533-position model. The record is from RNAcentral.